GGUGAGUAAUGCCUAGGAAAUUGCCCUGAUGUGGGGGAUAACCAUUGGAAACGAUGGCUAAUACCGCAUAAUGCCUACGGGCCAAAGAGGGGGACCUUCGGGCCUCUCGCGUCAGGAUAUGCCUAGGUGGGAUUAGCUAGUUGGUGAGGUAAGGGCUCACCAAGGCGACGAUCCCUAGCUGGUCUGAGAGGAUGAUCAGCCACACUGGAACUGAGACACGGUCCAGACUCCUACGGGAGGCAGCAGUGGGGAAUAUUGCACAAUGGGCGCAAGCCUGAUGCAGCCAUGCCGCGUGUGUGAAGAAGGCCUUCGGGUUGUAAAGCACUUUCAGUCGUGAGGAAGGUAGUGUAGUUAAUAGCUGCAUUAUUUGACGUUAGCGACAGAAGAAGCACCGGCUAACUCCGUGCCAGCAGCCGCGGUAAUACGGAGGGUGCGAGCGUUAAUCGGAAUUACUGGGCGUAAAGCGCAUGCAGGUGGUUUGUUAAGUCAGAUGUGAAAGCCCGGGGCUCAACCUCGGAAUUGCAUUUGAAACUGGCAGACUAGAGUACUGUAGAGGGGGGUAGAAUUUCAGGUGUAGCGGUGAAAUGCGUAGAGAUCUGAAGGAAUACCGGUGGCGAAGGCGGCCCCCUGGACAGAUACUGACACUCAGAUGCGAAAGCGUGGGGAGCAAACAGGAUUAGAUACCCUGGUAGUCCACGCCGUAAACGAUGUCUACUUGGAGGUUGUGGCCUUGAGCCGUGGCUUUCGGAGCUAACGCGUUAAGUAGACCGCCUGGGGAGUACGGUCGCAAGAUUAAAACUC
This 801-nucleotide ribosomal RNA is filed under the name Vibrio sp. RNAcentral's name for it is "bacterial SSU rRNA". It matches the Rfam family "Bacterial small subunit ribosomal RNA", at positions 105 to 902 of the family's 1533-position model. Lineage: Bacteria; Pseudomonadati; Pseudomonadota; Gammaproteobacteria; Vibrionales; Vibrionaceae. The record is from RNAcentral.